RNAcentral lists this ribosomal RNA (449 nucleotides) under Hemilamprops roseus. RNAcentral describes it as "partial large subunit ribosomal RNA". Lineage: Eukaryota; Metazoa; Arthropoda; Malacostraca; Cumacea; Lampropidae. The record is from RNAcentral.
GUUGUUGCACCUUACGGUUUCCUUAAUUCAACAUCGAGGUCGCAAACCUUUUUUUUAAUUAGGGCUUUAAAAAAGAUAACGCUGUUAUCCCUGAAGUAAUUUGAUUUUUAAGCUUUUAAGGGUCGUUUUAUUCACUCAAUUGUGUUUUAAUAAGAACAGGUGUUAUAUUUAUUCUAACCGCCCCAGCAAAACUCUCAGGUUUUUAGUCUAAUAAGUAUUUAAUAGAGUUAAAUUUUACAGGGUCUUGUCGUCUUUUAACAGUUUUUCAGGAUUUUGACUGAAAUCUAAUUUUUUUUAUUUUUAGGGAUAAGCUAAUCUUCGUGGCACCUUUCAUUCAAGUCUAAAAUUAAAAGACAAUAUAUUAUGCUACCUUUGUACAGUUAGAAUACUGCAGCUCUUUAUAAAACAGUGUGCAGGUGUGACUAUUUAUUAUUCAAACAGACAUGUUU